Molecule: non-coding RNA, 74 nt
Organism: Podarcis lilfordi (Lilford's wall lizard)
Lineage: Eukaryota; Metazoa; Chordata; Lepidosauria; Squamata; Lacertidae
Source: the annotation of a GenBank genome assembly
GUAGCUAGUUCAGUUGGUUACAGCAUGGUGCUGCUAAUGCCAAGAGCACAGGUUCGAUUCCCUCAUGGGCUACC